GAUGAACGCUGGCGGCGUGCUUAACACAUGCAAGUCGAACGGAAAGGCCCAAGCUUGCUUGGGUACUCGAGUGGCGAACGGGUGAGUAACACGUGGGUGAUCUGCCCUGCACUUCGGGAUAAGCCUGGGAAACUGGGUCUAAUACCGGAUAGGACGAUGGUUUGGAUGCCAUUGUGGAAAGUUUUUUCGGUGUGGGAUGGGCUCGCGGCCUAUCAGCUUGUUGGUGGGGUAAUGGCCUACCAAGGCGUCGACGGGUAGCCGGCCUGAGAGGGUGUACGGCCACAUUGGGACUGAGAUACGGCCCAGACUCCUACGGGAGGCAGCAGUGGGGAAUAUUGCACAAUGGGCGCAAGCCUGAUGCAGCGACGCCGCGUGGGGGAUGACGGCCUUCGGGUUGUAAACUCCUUUCGCUAGGGACGAAGCGUUUUUGUGACGGUACCUGGAGAAGAAGCACCGGCUAACUACGUGCCAGCAGCAGCCGCGG
Molecule: ribosomal RNA, 484 nt
Filed under: uncultured bacterium
Lineage: Bacteria
Description: partial 16S ribosomal RNA
Rfam family: Bacterial small subunit ribosomal RNA
Source: RNAcentral